UCCGGCCGAAUAUCUAAGGUUUCCAGAGUAAAGCUGAUCUGCUCUGGGUAAGUCGGGGCCUAAGGCGAGGUCGAAAGACGUAGUCGAUGGAUAACAGGUUGAAAUUCCUGUACUAUCCUGUAACAGAACUGUGGGGACACAGGCAGAGAGCGUGAGCCGGGAAUGGAAAGACCGGUACAAGCGAGGUAGGAGAAGAGUUGGCAAAUCCGCUCUUUAAUCUGAAGACGUGAUGUGGACUGAAAAUAAGUAGGGAAGCACGUGAGCUGACUGUCAAGAAAAGCCGCUAUUGUUUGCAGGAUACCCGUACCGUAAACCGACACAGGUGGAUGAGGAGAGAAUCCUAAGGCCGACGGGAGAAGCAUUGUUAAGGAACUCGGCAAAAUGACUCCGUAACUUCGGGAGAAGGAGUGCCAGUAAGAUGGCCGCAGAGAAUUGGCCCAAGCAACUGUUUAGCAAAAACACAGGUCUAUGCAAAACCGAAAGGUGAGGUAUAUGGGCUGACGCCUGCCCGGUGCUGGAAGGUUAAGGGGAGAGGUUAGCGCAAGCGAAGCUUUGAACUUAAGCCCCAGUAAACGGCGGCCGUAACGAUAACGGUCCUAAGGUAGCGAAAUUCCUUGUCGGGUAAGUUCCGACCCGCACGAAAGGCGUAAUGAUUUGGGCACUGUCUCAACAAUGCACCCGGUGAAAUUGAAAUACCAGUGAAGAUGCUGGUUACCUGCGCCAGGACGGAAAGACCCCAUGGAGCUUUACUCCAGCUUGAUACUGGGAUUCGGUAUUGCAUGUACAGGAUAGGUGGGAGGCUAGGAAAUGGUAACGCCAGUUGCCAUGGAGCCAAUGUUGGGAUACCACCCUUGCAGUACUGGGUUUCUAACCAGCAGCCGUGAUCCGGCUGGGGGACAAUGUCAGGUGGGGAGUUUGACUGGCGGUCGCCUCCGAAAGGGUAUCGGAGGCGCUCAAAGGUUCCCUCAGAAUGGUUGGAAACCAUUCGAAGAGUGCAAAGGCAGAAGGGAGCUUGACUGCGACACCGACGGGUGGAGCAGGUACGAAAGUAGGACUUAGUGAUCCGGUGGUAUAAAGUGGGAUUGCCAUCGCUCAACGGAUAAAAGCUACCCUGGGAUAACAGGCUUAUCACUCCCAAGAGUUCACAUCGACGGAGUGGUUUGGCACCUCGAUGUCGGCUCAUCGCAUCCUGGGGCUGAAGUAGGUCCCAAGGGUUGGGCUGUUCGCCCAUUAAAGCGGUACGCGAGCUGGGUUCAGAACGUCGUGAGACAGUUCGGUCCCUAUCCGGCGUGGGCGUAAGAUAUUUGAGAGGAGCUGUCCUUAGUACGAGAGGACCGGGAUGGACUGGCCGCUGGUGUAUCUGUUGUCUUACCAAAGGCAUAGCAGAGUAGCCAAGCCGGGAAGGGAUAAACGCUGAAGGCAUCUAAGCGUGAAGCCCCCCUCAAGAUGAGAUAUCUCAUAACGUCAAGUUAGUAAGACCCCUUGAAGACGACGAGGUAGAUAGGGCAGAGGUGGAAGUGUGGUAACACAUGGAGCUGACUGUUACUAAUAGGUCGAGGGCAUAACC
RNAcentral lists this ribosomal RNA (1567 nucleotides) under metagenome. RNAcentral's name for it is "bacterial LSU rRNA". It matches the Rfam family "Bacterial large subunit ribosomal RNA", at positions 1332 to 2925 of the family's 2925-position model. The record is from RNAcentral.